This 144-nucleotide small nuclear RNA is filed under the name Nomascus leucogenys (northern white-cheeked gibbon). RNAcentral's name for it is "U2 spliceosomal RNA". It matches the Rfam family "U2 spliceosomal RNA". Rfam says of the family: U2 is a small nuclear RNA (snRNA) component of the spliceosome (involved in pre-mRNA splicing). Complementary binding between U2 snRNA (in an area lying towards the 5' end but 3' to hairpin I) and the branchpoint sequence (BPS) of the intron results the bulging out of an unpaired adenosine, on the BPS, which initiates a nucleophilic attack at the intronic 5' splice site, thus starting the first of two transesterification reactions that mediate splicing. Lineage: Eukaryota; Metazoa; Chordata; Mammalia; Primates; Hylobatidae. The record is from Rfam by way of RNAcentral.
AUCGCUUCUUGGCCUUUUGGCUAAGAUCAAGUGUAGGGAACACUUCUAGGAUUAAUUCUUUGAAAAAUUUUCCUUAACUGCAUAUAGAAACAAUAUUCAAUCUUUUGUAAGUUUUGCAACCUGUAGGAUUAAAAAGAAAAGAAA